UUGCUGAUGAUGUGGACAAUCCCUAAAAAGUGCCUUGAACGCUCCCAUGAAUGAUAUAAAUUCUCAUCUGUCUUUUGUUUAAAGAACACAAUCUCACAGCGAAGUCU
Molecule: non-coding RNA, 107 nt
Organism: Capsicum annuum
Lineage: Eukaryota; Viridiplantae; Streptophyta; Magnoliopsida; Solanales; Solanaceae
Source: Rfam